UGGUGGGUAGUUUGACUGGGGCGGUCUCCUCCCAAAGAGUAACGGAGGAGCACGAAGGUUAGCUAAUCCUGGUCGGACAUCAGGAGGUUAGUGCAAUGGCAUAAGCUAGCUUGACUGCGAGAGUGACGGCUCGAGCAGGUGCGAAAGCAGGUCAUAGUGAUCCGGUGGUUCUGAAUGGAAGGGCCAUCGCUCAACGGAUAAAAGGUACUCCGGGGAUAACAGGCUGAUACCGCCCAAGAGUUCAUAUCGACGGCGGUGUUUGGCACCUCGAUGUCGGCUCAUCACAUCCUGGGGCUGAAGUAGGUCCCAAGGGUAUGGCUGUUCGCCAUUUAAAGUGGUACGCGAGCUGGGUUUAGAACGUCGUGAGACAGUUCGGUCCCUAUCUGCCGUGGGCGCUGGAGAAUUGAGGGGGGCUGCUCCUAGUACGAGAGGACCGGAGUGGACGCAUCACUGGUGUUCGGGUUGUCAUGCCAAUGGCACUGCCCGGUAGCUAAAUGCGGAAGAGAUAAGUGCUGAAAGCAUCUAAGCACGAAACUUGCCCCGAGAUGAGUUCUCCCUGAGACUU
Molecule: ribosomal RNA, 565 nt
Filed under: Enterobacter cloacae
Lineage: Bacteria; Pseudomonadati; Pseudomonadota; Gammaproteobacteria; Enterobacterales; Enterobacteriaceae
Also listed under: 2 other names
Description: partial 23S ribosomal RNA
Rfam family: Bacterial large subunit ribosomal RNA
Source: RNAcentral